Molecule: small nuclear RNA, 314 nt
Filed under: Choloepus hoffmanni (Hoffmann's two-fingered sloth)
Lineage: Eukaryota; Metazoa; Chordata; Mammalia; Pilosa; Megalonychidae
Description: 7SK RNA (ENSCHOG00000015966.1)
Rfam family: 7SK RNA
About the family: 7SK was discovered as an abundant small nuclear RNA in the mid-70s but a possible function has only recently been suggested. Two independent studies have found that 7SK RNA binds the CDK9/cyclin T complex (known as elongation factor P-TEFb).
Source: RNAcentral
UAAUGUAGAGUAUUUGACUUCCACACCUAUCUCCCUGAAACUCCAAGCUGAACUUUGGUGAACUGGCCAAGCAGGUGUGUGUUUUGUCUCUCAUUGCUCCAUAUGUGUCCUUUGUGUGUCUGGGACUUUGUCAGAGGGGGUCCCCUCUCAGGGACUGGAGGAAUUUUCUUCUGCAAAGGAUAUAUGAGUAACCAAGCUUCCUUGAAGGUGCCUCCAAACAUGUUCUCAGGGGCCAUUUGUGAGAGAACAUGGAGAGAGAAGACAAUGGCCUUUGAUAUUCAUAGAGUGAUACAGAGAGUGUGUGAAAUAACUCU